Molecule: ribosomal RNA, 254 nt
Filed under: uncultured bacterium
Lineage: Bacteria
Description: partial 16S ribosomal RNA
Rfam family: Bacterial small subunit ribosomal RNA
Source: RNAcentral
UACGGGGGGGGCAAGCGUUGUUCGGAAUUACUGGGCGUAAAGGGCUCGUAGGUGGCCAACUAAGUCAGACGUGAAAUCCCUCGGCUUAACCGGGGAACUGCGUCUGAUACUGGAUGGCUUGAGUUUGGGAGAGGGACGCGGAAUUCCAGGUGUAGCGGUGAAAUGCGUAGAUAUCUGGAGGAACACCGGUGGCGAAGGCGGCGUCCGGGACCAAUACUGACACUGAGUGAGCGAAAGCCAGGGGAGCAAACGGG